Molecule: microRNA precursor, 89 nt
Filed under: Canis lupus familiaris (dog)
Lineage: Eukaryota; Metazoa; Chordata; Mammalia; Carnivora; Canidae
Description: mir-8799 microRNA precursor family
Rfam family: mir-8799 microRNA precursor family
Source: Rfam by way of RNAcentral
GGGGGGAGGCCAGAUCCUGGGCUGUGUCCCGGCGCCCUGUGCUCCGGGGCCUGCGCUGUUGGAUUUGCGCUCCCGGGCCGCAGCCCCCU